UGCCAGCCGCCGCGGUAAUACGAAGGGACCUAGCGUAGUUCGGAAUUACUGGGCUUAAAGAGCACGUAGGUGGUUAAAAAAGUUGGUGGUGAAAUCCCAGAGCUCAACUCUGGAACUGCCACCAAAACUUUUUAACUAGAGUAUGAUAGAGGUAAGUGGAAUUUCUAGUGUAGAGGUGAAAUUCGUAGAUAUUAGAAAGAACACCAAUUGCGAAGGCAGCUUUCUGGAUCAUUACUGACACUGAGGUGCGAAAGCAUGGGUAGCGAAGAGGAUUAGAUA
Molecule: ribosomal RNA, 279 nt
Filed under: uncultured bacterium
Lineage: Bacteria
Description: partial 16S ribosomal RNA
Rfam family: Bacterial small subunit ribosomal RNA
Source: RNAcentral